AGAGUUUAGAGCAAGUUACAAGCAAUGUGGCUGAGAGUUACAAAGUUGCAGCUUACAUCCAAGCCAGCAGACAGUGAGCCAACAGGAGCCGCAGUACAAAACCAUCAGUCAAAUAUUAUGCUGUGGUGGCACAUGCAAGACAGCUUAUGAGACUGUGCGGUCAGGACAUGAGUCAACUUUCAGAGGCAGACAUGAGGAUCUAUACUGCAUAUAGAGUGGAAAUAUACAACGAUCAGAGGAAAAAGCAGUGUGAAAAGUUCAGAAUCUCCAACAGCUAUGGCGACCCCUGCUGUACAAUUGCAAGAGCAGAUUCUGUUAUCAAAAUUCAAUUAACUAGCUAGAUUUCGCUCAGCAUACAGGAGUAUAAAAAUGCUUAAAAAUAAAUGUAUGUGUAGGCAGGCAACCAGACAUAC
Non-coding RNA from Pelodiscus sinensis (Chinese soft-shelled turtle), 413 nucleotides. The record is from RefSeq and is a predicted model, not a curated record. Lineage: Eukaryota; Metazoa; Chordata; Testudines; Trionychidae.